This 517-nucleotide long non-coding RNA is filed under the name Homo sapiens (human). Its description in RNAcentral is "HSALNT0006978". Lineage: Eukaryota; Metazoa; Chordata; Mammalia; Primates; Hominidae. The record is from RNAcentral.
AGAAAAAUUGAUCUCUGUCUGAGCUCUGAAGGGUCCGAAGUGAUUUUAGCUACAUCAAGUGAUGAAAAACACCCACCUGAAAAUAUCAUUGAUGGGAAUCCAGAAACGUUUUGGACCACCACAGGAAUGUUUCCCCAGGAAUUCAUUAUUUGUUUCCACAAACAUGUAAGGAUUGAAAGGCUUGUAAUCCAAAGUUACUUUGACCUUGAAGAUUGAAAAAAGCACGUCUAAAGAGCCAGUUGAUUUUGAGCAAUGGAUUGAAAAAGAUUUGGUACACACAGAGGGGCAGCUUCAAAAUGAAGAAAUUGUGGCACAUGAUGGCUCCGCUACUUACUUGAGAUUCAUUAUUGUAUCAGCCUUUGAUCAUUUUGCAUCUGUGCAUAGCGUUUCUGCAGAAGGAACAGUAGUCUCAAAUCUUUCCUCAUAAUGAUAACAAAAUGCUCUUGCAUGAUUUUUUAACAAUAUAUUUAAACAGGAAGUUGUCACUGAUAUACUUUAUUAAAAGGAUUUUUAUCAA